CAUGUGCACGGGGGGCAUUCAGAUCGGUAACAAAACCCGCGGUAUCGUUUAUGAAUUCACUGGUAUACGCGAUAUAUCCGCAGGACGUGUGAAAGCUUCUUUUUUUUUUUCCCCCGCGAGCGUGCCGAGUAUAUCGGAACGGCACACGUCUGAAAUC
Frieseomelitta varia is the source of this 157-nucleotide long non-coding RNA. RefSeq lists it as uncharacterized. Lineage: Eukaryota; Metazoa; Arthropoda; Insecta; Hymenoptera; Apidae. The record is from RefSeq and is a predicted model, not a curated record. The transcript is spliced from 3 exons.